RNAcentral lists this ribosomal RNA (374 nucleotides) under uncultured eukaryote. Its description in RNAcentral is "partial 18S ribosomal RNA". It matches the Rfam family "Eukaryotic small subunit ribosomal RNA", at positions 592 to 976 of the family's 1831-position model. The record is from RNAcentral.
CAAUAGCGUAUAUUUAAGUUGUUGCAGUUAAAAAGCUCGUAGUUGGAUUUCGGUUAAGAGCGACCGGUCCGCCGUUUGGUGUGCACUGGUUGGUUUUAACUUCCUGUAGAGGACGUGCUCUGGGUUUAACGACCUGGACUCGGAGUCUGCGUGGUUACUUUGAAAAAAUUAGAGUGUUCAAAGCGGGCUUACGCUUGAAUAUUUCGGCAUGGAAUAACACUAUAGGACUCCUGUCCUAUUUCGUUGGUCUCGGGACGGGAGUAAUGAUUAAGAGGAACAGUUGGGGCAUUCGUAUUUCAUUGUCAGAGGUGAAAUUCUUGGAUUUAUGAAAGACGAACUUCUGCGAAAGCAUUUGCCAAGGAUGUUUUCAUUAA